RNAcentral lists this ribosomal RNA (268 nucleotides) under uncultured bacterium. RNAcentral describes it as "partial small subunit ribosomal RNA". It matches the Rfam family "Bacterial small subunit ribosomal RNA", at positions 26 to 285 of the family's 1533-position model. The record is from RNAcentral.
AGAAUCAACGCUGGCGGCGUGCCUAACACAUGCAAGUCGAACGCGAAAGUGGAGCAAUCCAUAAGUAGAGUGGCAAACGGGUGAGUAACGCGUGGGCGACCUGCCUUCGAGUGGGGGAUAACAUUCCGAAAGGGAUGCUAAUACCGCAUAACAUCCUUCGUUUAGAUACGAGGUGAUCAAAGCCGGGAGCAAUUCUGGCGCUUAAAGAGGGGCCCGCGUCCGAUUAGCUAGUUGGUGGGGUAACGGCCUACCAAGGCUCCGAUCGGUA